UACGGGGGGGGCAAGCGUUGUUCGGAAUUACUGGGCGUAAAGGGCUCGUAGGCGGCCAACUAAGUCGGACGUGAAAGCCCUCGGCUUAACCGAGGAACUGCGUCCGAUACUGGAUGGCUUGAGGUUGGGAGAGGGAUGCGGAAUUCCGGGUGUAGCGGUGGAAUGCGUAGAGAUCAGGAGGAACACCUAUGGCGAAGGCAGCUCGCUGGGACGGUACUGACGCUGAGGCGCGAAAGCGUGGGGAGCGAACAGG
RNAcentral lists this ribosomal RNA (253 nucleotides) under uncultured bacterium. RNAcentral describes it as "partial 16S ribosomal RNA". It matches the Rfam family "Bacterial small subunit ribosomal RNA", at positions 524 to 776 of the family's 1533-position model. The record is from RNAcentral.